This 138-nucleotide ribosomal RNA is filed under the name uncultured eukaryote. RNAcentral describes it as "partial 18S ribosomal RNA". It matches the Rfam family "Eukaryotic small subunit ribosomal RNA", at positions 1299 to 1458 of the family's 1831-position model. The record is from RNAcentral.
UGGUGGAGUGAUUUGUCUGCUUAAUUGCGAUAACGAACGAGACCUUAACCUGCUAAAUAGUCAGGCCCGCUUUGGCGGGUCGCAGGCUUCUUAGAGGGACUAUCGGCUUCAAGCCGAUGGAAGUUUGAGGCAAUAACA